AUUGACGCUGAACGCUGGCGGCAGGCCUAACACAUGCAAGUCGAGCGGUAACACAAGGGAGCUUGCUCCUGAGGUGACGAGCGGCGGACGGGUGAGUAAUGCCUAGGGAUCUGCCCAGUCGAGGGGGAUAACAGUUGGAAACGACUGCUAAUACCGCAUACGCCCUACGGGGGAAAGGAGGGGACCUUCGGGCCUUCCGCGAUUGGAUGAACCUAGGUGGGAUUAGCUAGUUGGUGAGGUAAUGGCUCACCAAGGCGACGAUCCCUAGCUGUUCUGAGAGGAUGAUCAGCCACACUGGGACUGAGACACGGCCCAGACUCCUACGGGAGGCAGCAGUGGGGAAUAUUGCACAAUGGGGGAAACCCUGAUGCAGCCAUGCCGCGUGUGUGAAGAAGGCCUUCGGGUUGUAAAGCACUUUCAGUAGGGAGGAAAGGUGGUGUGUUAAUAGACUAUUACUGUGACGUUACCUACAGAAGAAGGACCGGCUAACUCCGUGCCAGCAGCCGCGGUAAUACGGAGGGUCCGAGCGUUAAUCGGAAUUACUGGGCGUAAAGCGUGCGCAGGCGGUUUGUUAAGCCAGAUGUGAAAUCCCCGGGCUCAACCUGG
Molecule: ribosomal RNA, 606 nt
Filed under: Shewanella sp. CAL614
Lineage: Bacteria; Pseudomonadati; Pseudomonadota; Gammaproteobacteria; Alteromonadales; Shewanellaceae
Description: bacterial SSU rRNA
Rfam family: Bacterial small subunit ribosomal RNA
Source: RNAcentral